GCCGUAAGGCCUUGGUUCGGGAACCACUGGAACGGUGGCUAAUACCGGGUAUGCCGAGAGGUGAAAGAUUAAUUGCCUGGAGAUGAGCUCGCGUCUGAUUAGCUAGUUGGUGGUGUAAGGGACUACCAAGGCGACGAUCAGUAGCUGGUCUGAGAGGAUGAUCAGCCACACUGGAACUGAGACACGGUCCAGACUCCUACGGGAGGCAGCAGUGGGGAAUUUUCCGCAAUGGGCGAAAGCCUGACGGAGCAAUACCGCGUGAGGGAGGAAGGCUCUUGGGUUGUAAACCUCUUUUCUCAGGGAAUAAGCAAGUGAAGGUACCUGAGGAAUCAGCAUCGGCUAACUCCGUGCCAGCAGCCGCGGUAAUACGGAGGAUGCAAGCGUUAUCCGGAAUGAUUGGGCGUAAAGCGUCCGUAGGUGGCUGUGUGUGUCUAUUGUUAAAGAGUUUGGCUUAACCAGAUAAAGGCGGUAGAAACUACACAGCUAGAGUGCGUUCGGGGCAGAGGGAAUUCCUGGUGUAGCGGUGAAAUGCGUAGAGAUCAGGAAGAACACCGGUGGCGAAAGCGCUCUGCUAGGCCGCAACUGACACUGAGGGACGAAAGCUAGGGGAGCGAAUGGGAUUAGAUACCCAGGUAGUCACAC
RNAcentral lists this ribosomal RNA (642 nucleotides) under Westiellopsis sp. MZUC9. RNAcentral describes it as "bacterial SSU rRNA". It matches the Rfam family "Bacterial small subunit ribosomal RNA", at positions 121 to 799 of the family's 1533-position model. The record is from RNAcentral. Lineage: Bacteria; Bacillati; Cyanobacteriota; Cyanophyceae; Nostocales; Hapalosiphonaceae.